Molecule: transfer RNA, 87 nt
Filed under: Clostridiales bacterium UBA8153
Lineage: Bacteria; Bacillati; Bacillota; Clostridia; Eubacteriales; Clostridiales Family XVII. Incertae Sedis
Description: tRNA-Leu
Rfam family: tRNA
About the family: Transfer RNA (tRNA) molecules are approximately 80 nucleotides in length. Their secondary structure includes four short double-helical elements and three loops (D, anti-codon, and T loops). Further hydrogen bonds mediate the characteristic L-shaped molecular structure. tRNAs have two regions of fundamental functional importance: the anti-codon, which is responsible for specific mRNA codon recognition, and the 3' end, to which the tRNAs corresponding amino acid is attached (by aminoacyl-tRNA synthetases). tRNAs cope with the degeneracy of the genetic code in two manners: having more than one tRNA (with a specific anti-codon) for a particular amino acid; and 'wobble' base-pairing, i.e. permitting non-standard base-pairing at the 3rd anti-codon position.
Source: RNAcentral
GCCGGGAUGGCGGAACUGGCAGACGCAGGGGACUUAAAAUCCUCCGGGUUGACGCCCGUGCCGGUUCGAGUCCGGCUCCCGGCACCA